AGUGCCAGGCCUGCCUUGUGCCCAGCCAGUCACCAGCCGGCUAUGCUGUGACCCCGGGAGAUGAAGAAACUGAGGCCACAGCCAAUGAGACACGAAUGUGGUGUGCAUCUCACCCUUCCCCGUCGGCUUUUUGAGGAUGGUCCUGGUUGAGGUGGGCCCCGUCCUGCCCCUCUAUUUAGAGAAGGGGACCCCAUUCCUACGGGAGCACCUCCUGUCCACUCAUCUGGCCCCUCCCUUUAUCUGGCCUGACCACCUCCACCCCCACCCUGGCCAUGGGCGCCCCUCCCAGGGCUGCGCUCCUCCCCAGGUCUCCUUCCGGCUGCCACCCAUGCUCCCGGCAGCCGUGGCCCCCACCUUGACAGGCACACCCAGCCCCGAAGGGUCAGGGCUAGGCCAGAGAGGGAGAGGCUGGGAUAACCCUUGGAAGGGGGUCACAGGGGCUGCGGUUUGAGGAAUGACUAGGAGUUUGUCACAUAAAAAAGAUGAUGCGGUCGGGCGCGGUGGCUCACGCCUGUAAUCCCAGCACUUUGGGAGGCCGAGGCGGGCGGAUCACAAGGUCAAGAGAUUGAGACCAGCCUGGCCAACAUGGUGAAACCCUGUCUCUACUAAAAAUACAAAAAUUAGCUGGGCAUGGUGGCAUGUGUCUGUAGUCCCAGCUACUCAGGAGGCUGAGGCAGGAGAAUCGCUUGAACGCGGGAGGCGGAGGUUACAAUAAACCCAGAUCGUGCCAGGGCACUCCAGCCUGAGCGACAAAACGAGAUUCCGUCUCAAAAAAAAAAAAAAAAAAAAAAAAGGCCGGGCGCGGUGGCUCAUGCCUGUAAUCCUGGCACUUUGGGAGGCCGAGGCGGGCGGAUCACGAGGUCAGGAGUUCGAGACCAGCCUGAUCAACAUGGUGAAACCCUGUCUGUACUAAAAACACAAAAAUUAGCCAGGCGUGGUGAUGUGCGCCUGUAAUCUCAGCUACUUGGGAGGCUGAGGCGGGAGCAUUGCUCGAACCCGGGAGACGGAGAUUGUGGUGAGCUGAGAUUGUGCCAUUGCACUCCAGCCUGGGCAAUAAGAGCGAAACUCCUCUCAAAAAAAAAAAAAAAAAAAAAAAAAAAAGACGAUGGUCCAGGAAGUGGGAAUGGCUUGAGCAGUUCUGGGAGCUUAGUGAACUGGACCCAGUUGGAGGGAGGAGGGGCAGGGUCGAUGAAUGGGGCUUGGAUGAAGGGCUGGGGCCCCAGGUGGGAACUACAGGGCCAGGCUCAUUCUGCUUCCAGUGAGAACAAAGGUGGCGGAGGGAGCCGUGGACUGGUGCCAAAUGAGCAGCCCAAGCAGGACACUGGGGCCCCCUGUGAGUGGCCAGCAGCCCCCACCUCCCUCCCUGCCUCUUGCCUCUCGUGUGUGGCUCUGCCACCUGCACACCGUCACCUCAGUCUGGUCGGGAGUGGAAUGGACACCGUCACCUCAGUCUGGUCGGGAGUGGAAUGGACACCGUCACCUCAGUCUGGUCGGGAGUGGAAUGGACACCAUCACCUCAGUCUGGUCGGGAGUGGAAUGGGACACGGGUUGUCGGAACUUGCUGGGCUUCACAGGGGCCACUGUGUGGCCCUUUGGGGACCAGAUGCCCAGAGCCAGUCUAAAUGAAUAAACAUGCUAAAACGCUUCCCCACCA
Molecule: long non-coding RNA, 1654 nt
Organism: Homo sapiens (human)
Lineage: Eukaryota; Metazoa; Chordata; Mammalia; Primates; Hominidae
Exons: 2
Source: RefSeq, a predicted model, not a curated record